Molecule: long non-coding RNA, 741 nt
Organism: Triticum urartu
Lineage: Eukaryota; Viridiplantae; Streptophyta; Magnoliopsida; Poales; Poaceae
Source: RefSeq, a predicted model, not a curated record
AUCCGGCUACCCUCCCAAUCCCCUGUUCACGCAGCCCCCCGUGGCCACGGCCGAUGCCUGACACGGCACUGGCCGACGUCGUGGCGACCAUCCACCGGUGCCGCCCUGCCAAUAUUACCCGGCGACCCCUCUCCCGUCGCCGAACCCUAACCCGCUUUCCCUUCAUCGCGCCCCCGUUCCCCUUUGUUCGCUCGUCGACGUCUCAGCGCCCCGAUCCCGUCCGUCACCGCCGCCGUCACGUCGCCGCGGCCGCGGCCAACGGCCUCCCCGGGGCUCGACGGGUUGUUCUACGGACUCCCCGGCGUCGUCCCCGUCCUCUAUGCGCCGCGGCCGACCGGUGGAGCUGUCCUGCGUCGCCUACCCCAUCGUCUUCUACUUCGGGCAGCCGAGAUCGCCGCGGUCACCUCGUUGUCUCCGGUGCUCCCCCGAGCCCGCUAGUCUACCCUUCCGCCCCGCUAUGGUGGAUCCCAAGAGCUAGAUGCCACCCCCGACGACGACUACUACUACCCCGAGGGUGCCUACCGCUACGUGGAGCCCGCCGACGACCAGGAGUAGUUAGGAGGUCCCAUGCAGGAGACCUUGCCUCUUCGAUCGUGUUGCUUUUGUGCUAGCCUAUUUAAGGAAUCCUUAUUUAACUUAUGUCUAUACUCAGAUAUUGUUGCUUUCGAUGACGGUUGUGUAUCGAGCUUGUAUUCGAGCCCUCGAAGCCCCUGGCUUGUAAUAUGAAGCUUGUAUUAUUUC